AUUGAACGCUGGCGGCAGGCCUAACACAUGCAAGUCGAGCGGAUGAAGGGAGCUUGCUCCUGGAUUCAGCGGCGGACGGGUGAGUAAUGCCUAGGAAUCUGCCUGGUAGUGGGGGAUAACGUCCGGAAACGGGCGCUAAUACCGCAUACGUCCUGAGGGAGAAAGUGGGGGAUCUUCGGACCUCACGCUAUCAGAUGAGCCUAGGUCGGAUGAGCUAGUUGGUGGGGUAAAGGCCUACCAAGGCGACGAUCCGUAACUGGUCUGAGAGGAUGAGCAGUCACACGGUAACUGAGACACGGUCCAGACUCCGACGGGAGGCAGCAGUGGGGAAUAUUGGACGAUGGGCGAAAGCCUGAUCCAGCCAUGCCGCGUGUGUGAAGAAGGUCUUCUGAUUGUAAAGCACUUUAAGUUGGGAGGAAGGGCAGUAAGUUAAUACCUUGCUGUUUUGACGGUACCAACAGAAUAAGCACCGGCUAACUUCGUG
Molecule: ribosomal RNA, 484 nt
Filed under: uncultured bacterium
Lineage: Bacteria
Description: partial 16S ribosomal RNA
Rfam family: Bacterial small subunit ribosomal RNA
Source: RNAcentral